GAUGAAGAACGUAGCGAAAUGCGAUAAGUAGUGUGAAUUGCAGAAUUCAGUGAAUCAUCGAAUCUUUGAACGCACAUUGCGCCCCUUGGUAUUCCAUGGGGCAUGCCUGUUCGAGCGACAUUUGUACCCUCAAGCUUUGCUUGGUGUUGGGUGUUUGUCCCGCGUUGCGCGUGGACUCGCCUUAAAGCGAUUGGCAGCCGGCAUAUUGGCCUUGGAGCGCAGCACAUUUUGCGCUUCUAGUCAUGAAUGUUGGCGUCCAUUAAGCCUAUACAUUUGCUCUUGACCUCGGAUCAGGUAGGGAUACCCGCUGAACUUAAGCAUAUCAAUAAGCGGAGGA
RNAcentral lists this unclassified non-coding RNA (337 nucleotides) under soil metagenome. Its description in RNAcentral is "partial contains 5.8S ribosomal RNA, internal transcribed spacer 2, and large subunit ribosomal RNA". The stretch from base 1 to 120 matches the Rfam family "5.8S ribosomal RNA", at positions 35 to 154 of the family's 154-position model. The record is from RNAcentral.